GCUAGUGUGGAAUAGUGGUUUGAGUCCUGGAUUAGAACUCUAGAGACCAGGGUUUGAUUCCCAGCUCAGCC
Non-coding RNA from Phrynosoma platyrhinos (Desert horned lizard), 71 nucleotides. The record is from the annotation of a GenBank genome assembly. NCBI's taxonomy places the organism in Eukaryota, Metazoa, Chordata, Lepidosauria, Squamata, Phrynosomatidae.